GCAGGUGCUGUCCAGUUCAGGUUCUAGUGUGGGGGGGCUUGCUCUUGUGGUUUUGCUCCCUGCGAAGUAGCAGGUGGGCCCUUGCUUGGUGGGGGCCUCCCCUGCCAGAUCUGCUCCCCUCCCUCAGGAAGGGGGACACCCUGCUGGGGCACCUCCAAGGAGGCAGGGACGCUCCCCUGUCACACAGCCGAGGUUCCUGCCCGCAAGCAGCUCAGGUCCCCCAGGCCCCUGCCUGCGGCCUGCCAGCCCCACAUCCCUCCAAGUCCUGGGACCUCUCUCAGACGGGACUUUGUGAGGACCAGCAUUCCUGGGCCCGCGGCCUGUGUUGCUGAGCGUGGUGCUGGGGGGCCUCCCUAAACACCCUGUUCUUCAUUCUCAGAACUCUGGCACAGAAACCCCCUGCUCCCCGAGUGGCCUUCCUGGUGUGGACUGGGGAAGUUACAGGAUCCCCCUGCCCAGAAAGGCCCCCAGGCUGUGUGUCUGUCAGGGUUGAUGCCCCACUGCAAACCAGGAGGCUGAGCUGCUCUCAGGCCCUGGGCGCCAGCUCCCAGGCCUCCCCAAGUAGCCCUCUCUCCCGUGUAUUCAGGGGAACCCACUCGGCCUGGGCUGUCCCAGGUUUAAACAAAGUCCAGGGCGGUUGGUCACCUUACGUGUCACCUGGGUGUGGGGUCAGGCCUGCUGGGGUCUCACCUGCCCUCCCUCUACCCCUUGCAGAGAGGCCUUACGUACCCCUAGGCUGGCUGCGUGCACCCCACCCUACCAGCAUCCCAGGUGUCUCCCCCAAAACCCCCUCACUCCCCGAGCACCGGGGCGGCCUGACUCCUCAAGACUGGAAUUCCCCACGGCUGGGGGCCGGGUGCCCCACGGGAAGCUUGAGGGAACCCCAAGGCCAGCAAGAGCGGGACAUCCCAGAUUGGGGCCGGGGCCACCUCCAGGUCCCUGGUAUCCCCUGGGGUCUGCCCCUAAGACCGAUCAGGGGACUCUCCUUGGUGACUCCCCUGGUCUGUGGGUCUUGUCUCUCUUUGGGGAACCUGCCUCAGUUUCCCUCUGCCUCGGGCCUAACCCACAGACCCAGAUGGGCAGGGGCUGAGAAGCCUCUGCGGCCCCCCCGAGGCCCACAAGCUUUUGAACUGUGUAUUACAUAUAUAAUUUAAGUUUUAUAUAUUUUAUAUAUAUAUAAUGAGAUUAACCCAGCACAGGAAAAAGUAGCCUUGGGGGAGGGGAAGAACCACAAUUACAGGGAAAAUUGUGCUCUGAGUGCCUCAGGAUAACUGAUUUUUUUAAAAACAACAAAAAAAAGUUUUUUAAGUAGAAUAAUUUUAUAUAAGUGUCAACACAGCUGGCUGAAUUCUUUGGGAUUUUUAAUAACGAUCCUCUAAAGUCGAUUUGGAGACCUGUACAUAACAGCACUGUAGCAAUAAAUGUGACAUUUUAUGAC
RNAcentral lists this long non-coding RNA (1438 nucleotides) under Phocoena sinus (vaquita). RNAcentral describes it as "lncRNA (ENSPSNG00000018373.1)". The record is from RNAcentral. Lineage: Eukaryota; Metazoa; Chordata; Mammalia; Artiodactyla; Phocoenidae.